UCGUCAAUGAGAAUAGGAUAAGAAGAUCUGCAGCACAAGUGAAAGCAAGGAGUGCAUUGUAAAUAUUAAAUAGUAGAAGAACCCUUAUGUGUAAAGUUCAUACGGUGCAAGAGGUCGAAGUAAUGAUGCAAAAUAUUACGAACCAGUGCAGCAUAAAAAUAAUAUAUAAUGAAAAAAUUAUGUAAUUGUGACGCCCCAGCUUCCCAGGGGGUCACCCAUCCUAGGACUACUCCCAUCCUAGCACGCUUAACUCUCUUAACCUCUUGGACCUUGCCACCACCCAAAAUGCUUAAGCCGGGUUAAGAGUUUAGCCCUAUUAUAUCUCAUAUAUAGGACUAUCUGGGGUCUCACAAUCUCCCCUCCUUUAAGCCCUGACGUCCUCGUUAGGCUCAGACUCACAAGUACCAGGCGAUGUGAGACUCAUCUCGCUAGCCCGUCAUCCAGACCCUGGCUCAGCCGAGACUCAUCUCACACUUCCGGCUGGUAAUUGGCUCUGAUACCAUUAUAUCUGUCACGCCCCAAUCCCCGCCAAUUUGGUCGGGUUCGGGUCACGUCAACAGACGCCGAACGGACAGAGCCUCCCCUGCCCGCCCAAGGCUCUAACAACAAGUAUAAAGUGGCAAUAAACGAGAGAAUUGCAUAUAUAAUACAAGGCUUGCGUGAGGGCAAGCAACAACGGAAGCGAAAGCUCUAAGCUAAAUAUACAUCACACAUGAUAUUUGAUUUCAUUUAAACCAAAUUCAAGUAAACAAGGCUAUUACAUUCCAUUCAACCAUCAUAUCUUUCACAUUUAGUCAUCCUCCAAAUACAUGAUUAUUUACACUUUUCAUACCUAAAUCAACAGAAUAAAGUUGAUACAUGUAUAACAAAAGGGAAUGACUACAAAAUGCAUAAAGUCCCGGUGGCCGCUACCUACUGCGCCAAACCCUUGCCUCGGUCCUCCGCCGCCCCGCUCGUACUAGGACCUGUAGGGUUAGUGGUGUGAGAACUACAACGAAGUUCCCAGUGGGCUCGGCAUCCGACCUCGCCGACUUACCCACUAGGUCCAUCCAGGCAUAAGUAUUUCAAAGGAAGAAAAGUAACCAUUACUAAUGCAACUAAUACUAUGCUUGCAAGAAAGAAGUCAGUAGAUAUACAAUUUCAAGGCGGUAAUGGAAAUGCAUGCAUGCUUCAAUCAUAAUCAAGCUUUGGCUCUUACCCAAUCUUACCGGUUAACUCUGUUAACCCCAAUAACUCACAACCCAAAAUUCCUUAAUAACGGGGGACUCGAACCUCCCUAGGGACCGUCAACUGAUGGGACUUUACCACGCCCAGUGGUGACCAACUCCGGAGCGCACCGCUCGAGGGGGAGCGACCUCCCUCAAGCCAAGACGAAAUGUGAGAAUCGAUCUAAUCCUCAACUUGAGG
This 1407-nucleotide long non-coding RNA is filed under the name Ananas comosus (pineapple). RNAcentral describes it as "long non-coding RNA (ACOM_LNC028103)". Lineage: Eukaryota; Viridiplantae; Streptophyta; Magnoliopsida; Poales; Bromeliaceae. The record is from RNAcentral.